UGGGGAAUAUUGGACAAUGGGCGCAAGCCUGAUCCAGCCAUGCCGCGUGAGUGACGAAGGUCUUCGGAUUGUAAAGCUCUUUUGGCGGGGACGAUAAUGACGGUACCCGCAGAAUAAGCCCCGGCUAACUUCGUGCCAGCAGCCGCGGUAAUACGAAGGGGGCUAGCGUUGUUCGGAAUUACUGGGCGUAAAGCGCACGUAGGCGGACUGAUAAGUCAGGGGUGAAAUCCCGGGGCUCAACCUCGGAACUGCCUUUGAUACUGUUAGUCUCGAGUCCGGAAGAGGUGAGUGGAAUUCCUAGUGUAGAGGUGAAAUUCGUAGAUAUUAGGAAGAACACCAGUGGCGAAGGCGGCUCACUGGUCCGGUACUGACGCUGAGGUGCGAAAGCGUGGGGAGCAAACAGGAUUAGAUACCCAGGUAGUCCCUGAGCGGGCUGGCAAGGCGCAU
This 447-nucleotide ribosomal RNA is filed under the name uncultured bacterium. RNAcentral describes it as "bacterial SSU rRNA". It matches the Rfam family "Bacterial small subunit ribosomal RNA", at positions 355 to 825 of the family's 1533-position model. The record is from RNAcentral.